This is a long non-coding RNA of Oncorhynchus tshawytscha (Chinook salmon), 5446 nucleotides long. The record is from Ensembl. NCBI's taxonomy places the organism in Eukaryota, Metazoa, Chordata, Actinopteri, Salmoniformes, Salmonidae.
AAUCUACUCACAUGCGCACACACUCACAUACAGACUCAUACAUACACACUGUACCUCUCUCCCCUUAUCUUUCCUUGGCCUCUAUUUCUUACAUCUCUCAGAGAAAAGGACAAUUUUCGUGGUAUUGCUUUGUGCCUGACUUUACUAAACUCUGGAGAAAACGAACAUUGUCGCUCGGUCCACACCUGUCCCCAUCUCAACGACGGGCAACCGGCGUACACUGUGAGGCGUCUCCUGAGGGUUCAACCUCGGGGCAGGGGGUUCCAGUACCUGGUUGACUGGGAGGGUUAUGACGGGAAACUGGCGUACACUGUGAGGCUUCUCCUGAGGGUUCAACCUCGGGGCAGGGGGUUCCGGUACCUGGUUGACUGGGAGGGUUAGAGGUGGUGGGUCCCCACCAGGGAAUUCUGGACCCAGGCCUCAUCGUGGAUUUCCAAUGCCGGCACCCUAGUCAACCAGGCCGGUGGUAGCUGGUCCCCUGCAGGAAGGUGAGGUGCCGGAGGUCCCCCUGCCCCCUCUGGACAUCGAGGGGUCCCCGGCGUACACAUGUACUGGAUGUCACCAGUGUGAACAGCCCCAGACCAAGCAGAACUCCCAGGACUCUGUACAGUUCUAGGCCCACUCAGCUGGCCUGAGACCUGUUCACUAGCACCCCAGGGCCCUGGAAUUCCUCACAAUCAAAUGCCGACCGUGUUAUCUCCCAAGAGAACUCUCCUCGGUUAUCGGCACAGCCGUGUAUAUCCCCCCGCAAGCGGUUACCAAGACGGCCAUCAAGGAACUUCAUUUGAAUUUAUGCAAACUGGAAACCAUAUAUCCUGAGGCUGUAUUUAUUGUAGUUGGGGUUUUAACAAAGCUUAUCUGAGAACAAGGUACCUAAAUUCUAUCAGCAUAUCGAUUGCAGUACACGAGCGAGUAACACACUCAACCACUGCUACUCUAACUACCGCGAUGCAUACAAGGCCCUCCCCUGCCCUCCUUUUGGCAAAUCUGACCAUGACUCCAUAUUUCUGCUAUAGGCAGAAACUUUAACAGGAAGCACCCGUCCUUAGGUCUGUCCAAUGCUGGUCUGACCAAUUGGAUUCCACGCUUAAAAAUGGCUUCGAUCACGUGGACUGGGAUAUGUUCCGGGUAGCCUCAGACAAUGACAUUGACGUAAGUUUAUAAGAAAGUGUAUAGGAGAUGUUGUACCCACUGUGACUAUUAAAACCUUUCCUAACCAGAAACCGUGGAUUGAUGGCAGUAUUUGAGCAAAACUGAAAGCAGGUACCACCGCAUUUAAUCAUGGCAAGGCGACUGGAAACAUGACCGAAUGCAAACAGUGAGUUAUUCCCUCCGUAAGGCAAUAAAACAAGCAAAGCGUCAGUAUAGAGACAAAGUGGAGUCGCAAUUCAACGGCUCAAACAUGAGACGUAUGUGGCAGGGUCUACAGACAAUCACGGAUUACAAAAGGAAAACCAGCCCCGUUGCGGACAACGAUGUCUUGCUCCCAGACAAAUUAAAUAACUUAUUUGCUUUGAGGACAAUACUGUGCCACCGACACGACACGCUACCAAAGACUGUGGGCUAUCCUUCUUUGUGGCCGACAUGAAUAAAACGUUUAAACGUAUUAACCCUCGCAAGGCUGCCGGCCCAGAUGACAUCCCUAGCCGUGUCCUCAGAGCAUGCGCAGACCAGCUGGCUGGUGUGUUUACAGACACAUUCAAUCAAUCCCUAUCUCAGUCUGCUGUCCCCACAUGCUUCAAGAUGGCCACCAUUGUUCCUGUUCCCAGGAAAGCAAAUGUAACUGAACUAAAUGACUAUCGCCCCGUAGCACUCACAUUUCUCAUCAUGAAGUGCAUUAAGAGGCGAGUCAAGGAUCAUGUCACCUCCACCCUACCUGUUACCCUAGACCCACUCAAUUUGCUUACCGCCCCAAUAGGUCCACAGACGAUGCAAUCGCCAUCACACUGCACACUGCCCUAUCCCAUCUGAACAAGAGGAAUACCUAUGUAAGAAUGCUGUUCAUUGACUACAGCUCAGCAUUCAACACCAUAGUGCCCUCCAAACUCAUCAUUAAGCUUGAGACCCAUGGUCUCGACCCCACCCUGUGCAACUGGGUCCAGGACUUCCUGAUGGGCCGCCCCCAGGUGGUGAAGGUAGGAAACAACAUCUCCACUCCGCUGAUCAACAACACUGGGGCUCCACAAGGGUGCGUUCUCAGCCCUCUCCUGUACUCCCUGUUCACCCACGACUGCGUGGCCAUGCACGCCUCCAACUCAAUCAUCAAGUUUGCAGAUUACACUCCAAUGGUAGAUUUGAUUAUCAACAACGACGAGACAGCCUACAGGGAGGAGGUGAGGGCCCUCGGAGUGGGGUGUCCGGAAAACAACCUCUCACUCAAUGUCACCAAAACAAAAGAGAUGAUCGUGGACUUCAGGAAACAGCAAAGGUAGUACCCAACUAUCCACAUCAACCGGACAGCAGUGGAGAAGGUGGAAAGUUCCUUGGUGUAUAUAUCACCAACAAACUGAAAAGGUCCACGUACACAGUGCCUCUUCAACCUCAGGAGGCUGAAAAAAAUGUGGCUUGUCACGAAAUCGCUCACUAACUUUUACAGGUGCACAAUCGAGAGCAUCCUGUCGGGCUGUAUCACCGCGUGCUAUGGCAAUUGCACUGCCCACAACCGCAGGGCUCUCCAGAGGGUGGUGCGGUUUGCACAAUGGAUCACCAGGGGCAAACUACCUGCCCUCCAGGACACCUACACCACCCAUUAGCACAGGAAGGCAAAAAAGAUAACCAAGGACAAUAACCACCCAAGUCACUACCUAUUCACCCUGCUUCCAUCCAGAAGGCGAGGUCAGUACAGGUGCAUCAGAGCUGGGACAGAGAGAUUGAAAAACAGCUUCUAUCUUAAGGCUAAUAAAUGGAAUUCUUGUCACUUUAAUUAAUAAUGUUUACAUAUCUCGCAUUGCUUAUCUCAUAUGUAUAUACUGUAUACUGUAUCCUUCACUAUCUAUUCUUUACUAUCUAUUGCAUCUUAGCCGCUCUGUCACUGCUCAUCCAUAUAUUUUAUACUUAUAUAUUCUCAUCCCAUUCCUUUACUAGAUUGUGUGUAUUCGGUUUGUUGUGGAAUUUGUCAUUUUUAGGUUUUGUUGUGGAAUUGUUAGAUAUUACCUGUUAGAUACUACUGCACUGUCAGAUCUAGAAGCAUAAGCAUUUCACUACACUCACAAUAACAACUGCUAACCAUGUGUACGUGACCAAUAAAAUUUGAUUUGAUUUGAUGUUUGGCACAUCAGCUAGAGGUUAAGGUGUUUCUUACAGACCAAUUGGAUUGGGAUCAACCUGCCCUCAGAACGCCACAAUGACCAUCAUGCUUAGUUGACCAUGAGAAUGUGGCUUUUUUGUUUUCCCUCACCUGUACACAUUUGUUGGACUAUUUUUGAAGUGAGGGGGAAAUUUGAGAGCUAGGGUGACGUCCCGUAACCAUUGUGUGGGGCAUUAAUUGAGGAUUUGGGCCUCAUUUGCCGCUAAGGCACAAUUUCCACUUGGAGCACAGCUGAAAGAAAGGUGAAAUCUCCUAGGAUUGUGUAGGAAAUUCAAUGUAAGUGACUUUUCUUUCUGCCAUAUUGUUUACAUACAUGCAACUUACCCCCAAAAGCCUAUAUGAGGAUAAAGUGUCCUGUGUUAGAUUUAUCUCGCGGGGUCCUCAAGGGGCUCAGACUUCAUCUUAAGACCGAUUGGCUCUGCACAUUCAUUCCUCAGCUGACUGCCCCUAAACACAGACGAGGCUACAACAUUGUUGGAAGAGGAAGUCACUUUGUAAUUUUAUUUAAUUGCAGACUUCCCCUCAACAAUGGCCUAGCAGACAGAGGGAGCCGUGGAAAGGGGGACUUUGCAUGGACCAAGGACUCGGAAUUGUGCAAACUGACAUGUUUUCUUAUGGCCCUCCAUUUUUCUGUCAUGUUGAAGGAAGAUGAGGUUAACUAAGACUUAACUCCGAUAACGCCCAAUGAGAUGAGUGUCAUUGAGCAGCAGACCUUGCUUGAGUAAGCAGCUCUACAUGCUGGAUAGACAAAAAGCGAGACAAAGAGAGAGUAAAGGGAUGGAAAGAGAGGGAUGGAAAGAAAGAGAGAAAAAGAUAAUUCUUUAGUAAUAACAGAUAUUAUAGCAGAAAAUGGUGCCACAGGCUGAGAUUCAAACAAUCUUUGCACUGUGAUCCUGAUUCAAAAGUGUAAAAUAUUUCCUUGUUUCCAUGUGUGUCAACUGUCAAAAUGCCUAUAGAAUAUGUGUACAACCACUUGAUUAAUUUAUAUAUAGGGUUUUUCUUUGUUUGUACAAUUUUCUACAUUGUAGAAUAAUAGUGAAGACAUCAACACUGUGAAAUAACACAUAUGGAAUCAUGUAGUAACAAAAAAGUGUUAAACAUAAUAAAAUAUAUUUUAUUUUGGAGAUUCUCCAAAGUAGCCACUAAGGAGGUGUGGGAAGCCCAGCCGACCCCCUUUUUGCAGCGUGGUGGAACACAGAGACGACGAGGGAGCAGAUAACAGCCAUAUGGCUAGUAGUAAGGGAACAUAUGGAGAAGGCCCAGCGCGCCCAAGCCAAGGUCUACAAUUGGGGUACCCGGCCCCGAGAGUUCCAUGUGGGUGACAAGGUGCUAGUUUUUUAAGUGCGCCCAGGUGGAACUGGACACACUCAGGCAAGCCGGGUUGACAGCGAAUGCCAAGAAUGCAAGCUGGGGUUCGAGGAUGUUGAGUACCUAGGGUACGGCAAGCCCCAGGAGAGGAAGGUCCAGUUGGUUUGUGACUGGCCCGUUCUCCGCACCAAGACAUGCUGAUUCCUUCCGAAAACAGUGAAGUGGUCGUAUGAGGCCGAAGCUGUGUUCAGGCACCUGAAGGAAGCCUUGUGCUCCCAUCCAAUUCUCGGGACACACCAUUUCCAGGUACUGAUGCUGGUGCAGACGGAUGCCUGCGACACGGGACUAGGGGCCAUCCUGUCCCAGGUAUACGAUGGGGAGGAACACCCCAUCAUGUACAAAAGCCGGAAGUUGAUACCUGAGCAAAGAAGUACUUGAUUGUCAAGAGAGUGUCUAGCGGUGAAGUGGGCGCUAGAUACUCUUAAGUAUUACCUGUUGGGCACUCACUCACCCUGGUCACAGACCAUGCUCCUCCGGCCAGGACUAAUUGAGGCUGAUUGAGACUGGUGAGUAAUCAAGGCGCUGAAUGCUCACCAGCCAUACGGGGCCCAUAAAGGUGCCAGGAGUGCAGCACACGGGAGGGUUGGAGGUAGCGAGAGGUUGCUACCAGAUAGACGUCCUCACAGUCUGCUAGAACCGAGGGGCUAGGUGUUCUACCCCAGGGGAGACGGCAUUCCCCAGAGCCCAGAAGGCGUUAACCCAGAAGUGGUCUCCUUGAGGAGACCGGUUUCUUUUCUUUUUCUUUAUCAUUUUAAAUAAACACCCUUGAAA